GACGAACGCUGGCGGCGUGCUUAACACAUGCAAGUCGAACGGGCCCGCUCUCUUUUUUGGGGGUGGGUUGAGUGGCGAACGGGUGAGUAUCACGUGAGUAACCUGCCCCCUGCUCCUGGAUAACUGCUUGAAAGGGCGGCUAAUACGGGGUGUGCCGGCUGGUCCGCAUGGGCCUGGUCGGGAUAGUUUCAUCUUCGGGUGUUUCGGUGGGGGAUGGGCUCGCGGCCUAUCAGCUUGUUGGUGGGGUGAUGGCCCACCAAGGCGGUGACGGGUAGCCGGCCUGAGAGGGUGGGCGGCCACACCGGGACUGAGACACGGCCCAGACUCCUGCGGGAGGCAGCAGUGGGGGGUAUUGCACAAUGGGCGGAAGCCUGAUGCAGCGACGUCGCGUGAGGGAUGGAGGCCUUCGGGUUGUGAACCUCUUUCUCCGGUGGUGAAGGCCCUGUCCGUUGCGGCGGGGUUGACGGUAGCCGGGUAUGAAGCGCCGGCUAACUACGUG
This 499-nucleotide ribosomal RNA is filed under the name uncultured bacterium. RNAcentral's name for it is "partial 16S ribosomal RNA". It matches the Rfam family "Bacterial small subunit ribosomal RNA", at positions 28 to 507 of the family's 1533-position model. The record is from RNAcentral.